AACGUAGGUGGCGAGCGUUAUCCGGAUUUACUGGGCGUAAAGCGUGUGCAGAUGGGUGAGUAAGUGGUGUAUGAAAUCGCUCGGCUUAACCGGGCGGGGUUAUGCCAGACUGCUCAUCUAGAGAACGGGAGAGGGACGUGGAAUUCCGGGUGUAGUGGUGAAAUGCGUAGAGAUCCGGAGGAACCCCUGAGGCGAAGGCGGCGUCCUGGCCCGGUUCUGACAUUCAGACACGACAGCAUGGGGAGCGAACGGG
RNAcentral lists this ribosomal RNA (253 nucleotides) under uncultured prokaryote. RNAcentral describes it as "partial 16S ribosomal RNA". It matches the Rfam family "Bacterial small subunit ribosomal RNA", at positions 524 to 776 of the family's 1533-position model. The record is from RNAcentral.